GAUGAAUGCUGGCGGCGUGCCUAACACAUGCAAGUCGAGCGGCAGCGCGGUCUUCGGACUGGCGGCGAGCGGCGUACGGCUGAGUAACGCGUGGGAACAUACCCCAAAGUGAGGGAUAACCGCCCGAAAGGGUGGCUAAUACCGCAUAUGAUCUUCGGAUUAAAGGAUUUAUCCGCUUUGGGAAUGGCCUGCGUACGAUUAGAUAGUUGGUGAGGUAAUGGCUCACCAAGUCGACGAUCGUUAACUGGUCUGAGAGGAUGAUCAGUCAGACUGGAACUGAGACACGGUCCAGACUCCUACGGGAGGCAGCAGUGAGGAAUCUUCCACAAUGGGCGAAAGCCUGAUGGAGCAACGCCGCGUGCAGGAUGAAGGCCUUCGGGUCGUAAACUGCUUUUAUGAGUGAAGAAUAUGACGGUAACUCAUGAAUAAGCACCGGCUAACUACGUGCCAGCCGCCGCCGUAA
Molecule: ribosomal RNA, 463 nt
Filed under: uncultured bacterium
Lineage: Bacteria
Description: partial 16S ribosomal RNA
Rfam family: Bacterial small subunit ribosomal RNA
Source: RNAcentral